GAAAUCCUACGGGAGGCAGCAGUGAGGAAUAUUGGUCAAUGGUCGGGAGACUGAACCAGCCAAGCCGCGUGAGGGAUGAAGGUACAGAGUAUCGUAAACCUCUUUUGUCAGGGAACAAAGGCGGGGACGCGUCCCCGGAUGAGUGUACCUUAAGAAAAAGCAUCGGCUAACUCCGUGCCAGCAGCCGCGGUAAUACGGAGGAUGCGUGCGUUAUCCGGAUUUAUUGGGUUUAAUGGU
This 237-nucleotide ribosomal RNA is filed under the name uncultured bacterium. RNAcentral describes it as "partial 16S ribosomal RNA". It matches the Rfam family "Bacterial small subunit ribosomal RNA", at positions 333 to 567 of the family's 1533-position model. The record is from RNAcentral.